Molecule: ribosomal RNA, 458 nt
Filed under: uncultured bacterium
Lineage: Bacteria
Description: partial 16S ribosomal RNA
Rfam family: Bacterial small subunit ribosomal RNA
Source: RNAcentral
GCUACGGGUGGCAGCAGUGGGGAAUAUUGCACAAUGGGGGAAACCCUGAUGCCGCGACGCCGCGUGAGUGAAGAAGUAAUUCGUUACGUAACGCUCUAUCAGCAGGGAAGAAACACUGACCUUACGGUCAGCAGACGGUACCUGAGUAAGAAGCCCCGGCUAACUACGUGCCAGCAGCCGCGGUAAUACGGAGGGGGCAAGCGUUAUCCGGAUUUACUGGGUGUAAAGGGAGCGUAGACGGUGCGGCAAGUCUGGAGUGAAAGGCCGCAGCUUAAAGGCGGAACUGCUUUGGAAACUGGCGAACUAGAGUGCGGGAGGGGCAAGCGGAAGUCCGAGUGGAGCGGUGAAAUGCGUAGAUAGUAGGAGGAACACCGGUGGCGAAGGCGGAUUACUGGACCGUAACUGACGUUGAGGCUCGAAAGCGUGGGGAGCAAACAGGAUUAGAUACCCGAGUAGUC